This 873-nucleotide long non-coding RNA is filed under the name Cricetulus griseus (Chinese hamster). Its description in RNAcentral is "lncRNA (ENSCGRG00015034314.1)". The record is from RNAcentral. Lineage: Eukaryota; Metazoa; Chordata; Mammalia; Rodentia; Cricetidae.
AAAAAAAAAAAAAGCAAUGGAAUCUUGAAAUUCACAGGCAAAUGGAUGGAACUAGAAGAAACCAUUCUGAGUGAGGUAACCCAGUCACAAAAAAAAAAAAAAAACAUAGUAUGUACUCACUCAUAUAUGAAUUUUAGACAUAGAUCAAAGGAUUACCAUCCUAUAAUCCUUUUCACCAAAGAAACUAGGAAACAUGAAGGACUCUAAGGGAAAAAAGCAUGGACCCCCGGAAUGGGAAGGGGCAGGAACUCAUGACCUAAAUUGGGAGCAUGAGGGUAGGUGAGAGGGAGCUACCAGAAUGAGAGCAGGAGAAGAGGAGUGGAGGAGAGGAAAUGGAGGAGCAGAAAUAUUGAGUUGGGGGAAGAAUAGAGGAGAGAGAGCAGGAUGAGAGAUACCAUAUUAGAGGAAACCACUAUAGGACCGAGGAGAGAUCUGGCACUAGGGAGAUUUCCAGAGACCUACAAGGAUGACAUGACCUGACAAUCCAGGAAAUGGUGGAAAGAAUAUCCUAAGUGCCCUUCCCCUAAAAUGAGAUUGAUGACUUCUCUUUAUGCCAUCCUAGAGCCCUCAUCCAGUGGCUGAUGGAAGCAGAGACAGACAUCCACAGAUAUCACUCAGCUGAAAUCUGGUACUUUGUUGAAGAGAGGGAGAAAUGAAGAUUGAAGGGGAAAAAUAGACAUACUUCAGGCUUCAUGAAUGGGGUGACCUACGUGGAACUGCAAGCACAAAUUAUUUCACUAGACAUUUUGCUGUAAUGUUUCAGUGCUAACCAAAGUCAUCCUUCUGUGGUCAGUUAGCAAUUCUACUGCUGACUUUCAGGCUCAGAAUGCAGAAAUGAAAAUGGGGACAAAACAGACACUGAGGAAAUCCAAG